Molecule: long non-coding RNA, 832 nt
Organism: Bombus pascuorum
Lineage: Eukaryota; Metazoa; Arthropoda; Insecta; Hymenoptera; Apidae
Exons: 3
Source: RefSeq, a predicted model, not a curated record
UCGGAUGCUCUGCUGGGAUAUUGUGGCGAAGCUGAUCUUAACAUCUUGCCUGUAAAGAAAAAAUGUCGUCCAUUCGCAAACGUUUAAACACAAGGCUGUCGAGACUAAAAGGCUUAAAAAGUCGAUGGAACAACAUAGUCUCUGGCUAAAUUCAGAGAAAUCUUGUUACCACGAGAUUUAACAGCUGCGAAGUCCACGUGUUGGGGAGCAAAACGAGCAACGAGAAUAGCGUGACAUUGACCCAACGUCAGGGACUCCCUGCUUUUGGAUACAUUUCAAAACCAGAUUACAUAGGAACGAGAAUAACUACUGUUUCUUCUUUAACGAUGUUUUAAUCGCUUUUGUUAUAUCUUUCCUGGUAAUAUUCCUUCUGGGAGACCUCGCAAAUUCUUUGAUGGUCGCACAAACUUUACCCACGUCCAUCUAAGUACGAAAGACGCUUCGAAGAAAUGUGAUAUUUGACUGCACAAGAAUCGCUGUGAAACUAAUCAAUAUUAAUUGAUUGUCGAAAAUCCCAAACAAUUUUACGUCGACGAUAAAUAAGAAGGAAGUAAUAAAGGAAACAUCUCUUAAGAUUCUUAAAUGACAUAAAUUAUCUUCAACCAAUCCAUACGCAGCGAGGCAACAGUCUACGCGGUAAUUGACAUCUGUUACAUAUAAUAUACCCAUUAUAGCAAUGUAAAUAUUAUACGUAUCUAUGAUUACCCAAUUGCAGGCUACUCUAAUAUAGUAUUUGACAAGCGUAUGUAAUACAACUGUAUACUGUGACAGUCGCUGAUAAGUAUGUAAUUCAUCUAUUUUGGAAAUAUACUUAAAAAAGGCAGAACCUCGG